This is a long non-coding RNA of Xenia sp. Carnegie-2017, 1095 nucleotides long. RefSeq lists it as uncharacterized. The record is from RefSeq and is a predicted model, not a curated record. Lineage: Eukaryota; Metazoa; Cnidaria; Anthozoa; Malacalcyonacea; Xeniidae. The transcript has 5 exons.
ACUUUACUGAUUGCCUGUAGCCAUCUUUUCAAGUGUAACUUUUGUAACUGUUGUUGCCAUCGGUCGUCUCAACUUUUAAGCACAGAUUGUGGCGGAUGUAAACAAGUAUUGACGUCUGAAAACAAACUGUUGACAACCUAGACCUCUCACAAGUCAACAAACCUCAACUGGGUCAGGGAACUGAAAAACUUCAGGGAACUUGAAAACAUUUUUCGUUUGACCAAGUUUAAUUCAAAGAAUAAUUAUACUUCGCAAACUGAAGAAUUGUAGACAUAACUGGUUGGUAAAAGUCAAUUGAAGUUGUUGGUGGAAAUUGGACUCCUGAAAGGCUUAGUCUAUAUGGGAUGUUUAUUGUGGUUUUUGAGUAAUCUUUAAAGGAAUGUCCACAGACAUUUUUAGCGCUCAAUAUAAAUAUUAUUGGCUUGGUUUCUGUAUCCUUAUUGCUUUUGUGGUACUAGCAUUUUGCAAAUGCUAUAGUAAGAAUCUUUUCACUAAUGACGAAAUUAUACCUCGACGUCUAAUUGUGAUUCAACAAUUACGUCAGGACCUGGGGGGAGUCGUUGUUGAAGUUGGUGACGCCGAUGGUAUUAAUCAAUAUGGGGCCCCUCCUGCCUACGACGAUGUUAUCAACAAGCCAGAAGAUUAUCCAGUUUAUCAAUCUCCAGUGACUAAUGGCUCUGUGAAUGGUGAAUAUGGGAUCACUUUAGAGAACUUACCCACCUACAAAGAUGUAGUCCAAAUUUCUCAGAAUGACAUUAGUAAUACACGAGUGAGUCACAACCAAAGGGGAUAGGUAUGGGUACCGUGGAUUUCAUUUGCAAUAAAGUUUAUUAAUUAGAGAAACAAACAAGCAAACUGCAAAAAUGUUACAACUUUCAUGAAACGGACAGAAAAUUUGCAUAACUGUCUUAUAUUGUCUCUGUUAAUAAACAUUUAGGAAAAUCGCGGUUCGGACUGUAGAGAUUUUUGGAAUUGAUUCAAAAAGCAUUUUAUACUAAAAGUUGUGAUUUUACUUUUCAUCACUAAAUCAAUCGGUAUAUAGUUCAAGUUGUAUCAUGAUUAGAUUAAACUGCUACACUGGCUAUACCAGCAUCA